Molecule: ribosomal RNA, 418 nt
Filed under: uncultured bacterium
Lineage: Bacteria
Description: bacterial SSU rRNA
Rfam family: Bacterial small subunit ribosomal RNA
Source: RNAcentral
UGGGGAAUAUUGGGCAAUGGGCGAAAGCCUUACCCAGCAACGCCGCGUGAGGGAAGAAGGUUUUCGGAUUGUAAACCUCUGUCCUGGGGGACGAAGGAAGUGACGGUACCCCGGGAGGAAGCCCCGGCUAACUACGUGCCAGCAGCCGCGGUAAUACGUAGGGGGCGAGCGUUGUCCGGAAUUAUUGGGCGUAAAGGGCGCGUAGACGGCCGAGUAAGUUAUAGGUGAAAGCCCAUCUUUCAAGGAUGGAAUUGCCUGUAAUACUGCCUGGCUUGAGUGCAGGAGAGGGAAGCGGAAUUCCUAGUGUAGCGGUGAAAUGCGUAGAUAUUAGGAGGAACACCAGUGGCGAAGGCGGCUUUCUGGACUGUAACUGACGUUGAGGCGCGAAAGCGUGGGGGAGCAAACAGGAUUAGAUACC